GACGAACGCUGGCGGCGCGCUUAACACAUGCAAGUCGAACGAAGUGGCGAACGGGUGAGUACUACGUGAGUAACCUGCCCUCCUUUUUGGGAUAAGCCUUGGAAACGGGGUCUAAUACCGAAUAAAGGGGGAUGGGCUCGCGGCCUAUCAGCUUGUUGGUGGGGUGAUGGCCUACCAAGGCGGUGACGGGUAGCCGGCCUGAGAGGGUGACCGGCCACAUUGGGACUGAGUGACGGCCCAGACGCCGACGGGAGGCAGCAGUGGUGGGUAUUGCACAAUGGGCGAAAGCCUGAUGCAGCGACGCCGGGUGGGGGAUGAAGGCUUUGGGGUUGUAAACCUCUUUCGAUAUCGAAAGGGUAGAUAAAGAAGAGGCACCGGCUAACUACGUGCCAGCAGCCGCGGUAAUUC
RNAcentral lists this ribosomal RNA (408 nucleotides) under uncultured bacterium. Its description in RNAcentral is "partial 16S ribosomal RNA". It matches the Rfam family "Bacterial small subunit ribosomal RNA", at positions 28 to 526 of the family's 1533-position model. The record is from RNAcentral.